RNAcentral lists this ribosomal RNA (468 nucleotides) under uncultured bacterium. Its description in RNAcentral is "partial 16S ribosomal RNA". It matches the Rfam family "Bacterial small subunit ribosomal RNA", at positions 28 to 507 of the family's 1533-position model. The record is from RNAcentral.
GACGAACGCUGGCGGCGUGCUUAACACAUGCAAGUCGAACGGAAAGGCCCUGCUUUUGUGGGGUGCUCGAGUGGCGAACGGGUGAGUAACACGUGAGUAACCUGCCCUUGACUUUGGGAUAACUUCAGGAAACUGGGGCUAUUACCGGAUAGGAGCUCCUGCUGCAUGGUGUGGGUUGGUAAGUUUCGGCGGUUGGGGAUGGACUCGCGGCUUAUCAGCUUGUUGGUGGGGUAGUGGCUUACCAAGGCUUUGACGGGUAGCCGGCCUGAGAGGCGGACCGGCCACAUUGGGACUGAGAUACGGACCAGACUGCUACGGGAGGCAGCAGUGGGGAAUAUUGCACAAUGGGCGGAAGCCUGAUGCAGCGACGCCGCGUGCGGGAUGACGGCCUUCGGGUUGUAAACCGAUUUCGCCUGUGACGAAGCGUGAGUGACGGUAAUGGGUAAAGAAGCACCGGCUAACUACGUG